AGAUAUUUUUGACCUUUAGGUGCCUUUAUGAGAAUUGAGGGUCUGAUAACCUGCCCCAAGGAGUAGCUAAAGUGAUUGCUGAUGUUUUCAGGGAUUUUAACAUCAGCCUUGAAUGAGUGAAUGAACCUUUUUAGUUUAAGUGACCUUGCCUACCUUGCAGCAGUUUGGGAGUUCUUCCUUACUUUGGUCUGCUGUUUGAGGGGGCUUUUUACUUAUUUCCAUGUUAUUCAAAUGAGACUAGGCUUGAUAUUUUAUUACUGUUCUGUGGACAAGAAGUUACAUAAUAUGUCCUUAAGACUUAAAUUCAACCAAAGGCCUAGCACCACCUUGGGGGCUGCAAUAAAUACUUAAAAAAGAGGGAGAAAAGCCUUCAUUUUAUUUUCCCAUCAUCUGUUUUCAUGGUGUAUUAAGGCUUCUUUUGAGUCAUGAUAUUUUUACCUUUUGGGUAUGUUUGUGACACCAUCAUCUUAGUGCUGUGUGCUGGUAAAAAUUUUUUAAACUAAAAUGAGUUGAAAACUUACUGUAAAUGCCUAGUGAUAUUAGAGGUCAUUGCUUUGGGUCUUUGGUUUCUUAACUCCUCUCAAAAUAGGGAAAUUCCCUUAAACUGUAUCAAUUAAAAUGGUUUAUAUGACUCAAGAAAACAAUACCAGUGGAUGAUUAUUCACUUUAUUUUUGGCUCUUGUUAGGUCCAUUUUGAUCAGAAAACUUGGCUGGAGCAUUCCUUUCAGAGUUCUCUUCCAGCCCAUCCUUGGAUUAGUAUAAUUAAUGGACUUGGCUUUUUCAAGGAUCAAGCCUUCUUUGGGGGUGGGUCAAGGGUAGGGGGGUUGGGGAGUCCUGGUAGAGGCCAGCUCAGUGGUAGCUGGAAAGGAAGGGAUGAAACCAGCUGCUGUUGCUAUGGCUGCUUGUCAUUGAUAGAAGGACUCAGGGCUUGGAUCGGUUAAAAGGCUAAACACGGAUUCAACAAACUUCUUCCAAGUAUUGGGUUCUGGCCACUGCCUUGGACGUGUGAUUUAAGGGAAAAGUGUGAAAGCUUGUAGAUGAUGAAAACCUGGUGGGCUGCAGAACCAUUUGGAAGAGGCGACUAGGGGUUGGGGACAGAUUUGGCGGUAGUAUCUGCCAAUUCUGUCUCCUCUCCUGAAGUCAGAGGAGCCAUGCCGUAACUCAAGAGACGAGCCACACUUAGCUUCUGCUUUGGGGAAAACUGAUCAGCUAAGGGCUCUGGUAGGUCCUUUGUGGCUUUCUGUAUGCUUUUGCCUGGUUGAAGUCUGUGGCUAAAAAACAGUUGAACCUUUCCUGAGAACUCUGUAACAAAGUAUGUUUUUGAUUAAAAGAGAAAGCCAAUUAAA
Molecule: long non-coding RNA, 1346 nt
Filed under: Bos taurus (domestic cattle)
Lineage: Eukaryota; Metazoa; Chordata; Mammalia; Artiodactyla; Bovidae
Description: long non-coding RNA NONBTAT015252
Source: RNAcentral